UCCGAGUUGACCCCGGCAGUCUCCUGCGAGUCCCCGCCAUUACGCGCUGGCAACACAGGACAAGGGUUGCGCUCGUUGCGGGACUUAACCCAACACCUCACGGCACGAGCUGACGACAACCAUGCACCACCUGUGUACGGCCCCGAAGGACACCAUAUCUCUAUGGCUUUUCCCUACAUGUCAAACCCAGGUAAGGUUCUUCGCGUUGCAUCGAAUUAAGCCACAUGCUCCGCCGCUUGUGCGGGCCCCCGUCAAUUCCUUUGAGUUUUAGCCUUGCGACCGUACUCCCCAGGCGGAGUGCUUAACGCGUUAGCUAAGGCACCGCAGGGGUCGAUACCCGCGACACCGAGCACUCAUCGUUUACAGCGUGGACUAC
RNAcentral lists this unclassified non-coding RNA (376 nucleotides) under uncultured bacterium. Its description in RNAcentral is "contains 16S-23S intergenic spacer region". The record is from RNAcentral.